This 418-nucleotide ribosomal RNA is filed under the name uncultured eukaryote. RNAcentral's name for it is "SSU rRNA". It matches the Rfam family "Eukaryotic small subunit ribosomal RNA", at positions 567 to 990 of the family's 1831-position model. The record is from RNAcentral.
CCAGCAGCUGCGGUAAUUCCAGCUCCAAUAGCGUAUAUUUAAGUUGCUGCAGUUAAAAAGCUCGUAGUUGGAUUUCGGGCGGGGCCUGCCGGUCCGCCGUUUCGGUGUGCACUGGCAGGGCCCGCCUUGUUGCCGGGGACGGGCUCCUGGGCUUCACUGUCCGGGACUCGGAGUCGGCGCUGUUACUUUGAGUAAAUUAGAGUGUUCAAAGCAGGCCUACGCUCUGAAUACAUUAGCAUGGAAUAACACGAUAGGACUCUGGCCUAUCCUGUUGGUCUGUAGGACCGGAGUAAUGAUUAAGAGGGACAGUCGGGGGCAUUCGUAUUUCGAUGUCAGAGGUGAAAUUCUUGGAUUUUCGAAAGACGAACUACUGCGAAAGCAUUUGCCAAGGAUGUUUUCAUUAAUCAAGAACGAAAGU